UUUUUUCUUAUGUGUUGGAUUGUUUUGCUUGCAUGUUUAUCUGCAUGCCUGGCAACCAUAGAGUUCAGAAGAGAGGCCAGAUUCAUUGAAACUGAUGGCUGUGAGCCUACCCUGUAGAUGCUAGGAACCAGACAUGGGUCCUCCGCAUGAGAAACAAGUAUUCUUAAAGCCUGAUAUUGUUUUAGUGUUGUAUUGUAGUGGGUGGAGAAAGUCUAGAGGAACUAGAUCCUCAAAUUUGAUGUCACAGAUCUAAAAUGAGAGGCCGUACACACUGCAGGUGAGCAGACGGAAGCAAGCCACCUUCUCUUGCCAUGUCUUGUCUCGGCAUGUGUGGUCCCAAGUAUCUAGUCUGCUCCAUAGCCCUCCGUCUGGAUAGUGGAGGGCUUCCUUCAGGCUUUGUCCUACGCUGCACUGUGUAGUAGCCCUUUCUGGGUGGAGGCAAGCUCUCGCGGUCAUGAGAUCUGCGGGUACAGAGUCUGGGAACCGUGGUCCCAGAGCCACAUUCAUGCAUUUCCAUGUGUGACCUGCGUGGGGGCCUGUGUCCUGUUUCACAGAUGAUUUUUCUGUGGAUUGGAACUCCUGCUCCUGUCUGGUUUGUGGGGCCGUCAGCACAUGUUGCUUGAGCCCUUGGACUGUGUGUGGUGUGGGCUAUGAGAGUGGAAAUGUUUGUCAGCAAGGAGCUGGGAGUGGACCAGGGGGAGCUAGGCUGAUGGUGAUGCUGGGUGUGGUUUAUUUAUGUAUUAUUAUUUUAUAAUGUUCUUGGGGAAAAAUAAAUGCCAACAAUCUUAUGUCAGCCAGCCAAUUAAAAACCAAUACAAAAAGC
This 823-nucleotide long non-coding RNA is filed under the name Mus musculus (house mouse). Its description in RNAcentral is "long non-coding RNA chr2:158858819-158859642". Lineage: Eukaryota; Metazoa; Chordata; Mammalia; Rodentia; Muridae. The record is from RNAcentral.